This 490-nucleotide ribosomal RNA is filed under the name uncultured bacterium. Its description in RNAcentral is "partial 16S ribosomal RNA". It matches the Rfam family "Bacterial small subunit ribosomal RNA", at positions 29 to 507 of the family's 1533-position model. The record is from RNAcentral.
AUUGAACGCUGGCGGCAGGCCUAACACAUGCAAGUCGAACGGUAACAGGAAGAAGCUUGCUUCUUUGCUGACGAGUGGCGGACGGGUGAGUAAUGUCUGGGAAACUGCCUGAUGGAGGGGGAUAACUACUGGAAACGGUAGCUAAUACCGCAUAACGUCGCAAGACCAAAGAGGGGGACCUUCGGGCCUCUUGCCAUCGGAUGUGCCCAGAUGGGAUUAGCUAGUAGGUGGGGUAACGGCUCACCUAGGCGACGAUCCCUAGCUGGUCUGAGAGGAUGACCAGCACCACUGGACAUGAGCCACGGCCCAGCCCCCGCGGGGGGGCGGCGGGGGGGAAUAUGGAACAAGGGGCGCAAGCUUGAUGCAGCCAUGCGGGGUGAAUGAAGAAGGCUUUGGGUUUGUAAAGUCUUUUCGGGGGGGGGGAAGGGAGAAAAUUUAAUACCUUGGCUAAUUGACGUUCCCGGAAAAAGAAGCCCCGGCUAACCCCGUG